CAUGCAAGUGAUGGCCAAAUCAGAUAACAAAAACAUCGUGUUGCAUAUUAUAUACCUACAAAAUAUCACGCUCCGAAAUGUAGUGUGGCUACCAGAUCUACUUUUAAUAUAUCCAUCUGAGUAUGCGAAGUGCGACAUUCACUUAUUCACAUACAUGAGAGUGUAAAUAAUAUACAUAUAAGCCAAAGCUGAUGUAUUCUACAAAUGCUUCGACAAAAAAAGUAGACUCAAGGUUAUUUANNN
RNAcentral lists this long non-coding RNA (243 nucleotides) under Solanum tuberosum (potato). Its description in RNAcentral is "long non-coding RNA (STUB_LNC001034)". The record is from RNAcentral. Lineage: Eukaryota; Viridiplantae; Streptophyta; Magnoliopsida; Solanales; Solanaceae.